GUUACCAACUGCCUCGUGAUCUGAAAACAUGAAUUUGAAAAUUGUGAGUAUAAACCCAGUGAGUGAACAAGGAAGGGAACAAGCAACCAUAAGGAAUCUUUAACGAAAUCAUGAUGCAUUUCUUUUCAAAACAAUGCAAUUUGUUUCUAUUCUUAUUAAAUACCCCUCAUCAAGCCCUUAAAUGAUUAAUCAUUUGAAAAUCAUGAACCCAUACAUAGCGAAUCAUUUGAAGAAUGAAAGCUUCAAUAUUACACAAGCAAUUCAAAUACGACAACGAAUCUUCGCUGCAACGAGAAUGCCUUUCCGUUGCAGCGACGUUGGGAUUUAGUUAUUAGCCGAACGAGGGUUUCUCAACUAGCCGAGGGUUUCUCACUAAACCUCCUCAUUUUAAACUUAACUCAUUUAAUCCUUAAUGUUGGAAGUCCAUGCUCCGAUAUGGUAGCAAAGAAGUGAAAGAUAGGGCAGCAAUUGGACAAGAUAAGAGACCAAAAUAGAAAGUUUUUCGCUGAAGCAAGAUUGAAUCUCGCUGCAGCGAAAUUGAAUCUCGCUGUAGCAAAAUUGUAACCCAGAAACAGAAUGUUUUUCACUGCAGCAAAUUUCAAUCUCGCUGCAGUGAAAUUUCAACCCAGAAACAGAAAGUUUCUCGCUGCAGCGAGAAUGUAUUUCGUUGUAGCGAGUUUCAGGCUAGCCUACCCUUUCAAAACCCGAGAGUUUCUCACUGCAGCGAAAUACAGGGCACCAAAUGAAAAUUUCCCUUUCUCCCAAAGAAAACCACCCUGCUUGAAAUGUUCAAAACCAAUAAGAAAUACAUAACAACUUCCCAAAGUUUAACAUACCGAAUUUCACAUACAUUACAUCCAUAUACAUAACUCAUAAAUUUCUUAUAACACACAUGUUUACGUAUGUAUACAUAUACAUAUACCCAUCACCAUCAUGCACACCAUCCCACCAUCAUGCACACCAUCCCAUCAUCAUCAUCACCAGCUCAUGCUCACUCCCUACUCGCACAUGGCUGGGUCAUCACCGGGUUAUGCGUACUCCCUACUCGCACAUAACCAGAUCAUCCUCGACUUAUGAGCACUCCCUACUCGCACAUAGCCGAGUCAAUAUAAUUACACAACAUUAUACUCAAGCAUAUAUGUAUAUCAACAUAAUGCAACCACAUAGAAAUCCACAAUAACCACAUAUCAUAACAUAAACCAUUUCACAAAAGCUUGUUCCCAAGGCAUUCAUUUUUUAGAAAAGUUGUAUAAAAUCAUUCAAACACUUUGUUCAAAACAGUCAUAUUCCCAAAACAAUUUUGAUAGGCAGUCCACUCACCAAUUGAUUGUAGAGCCUUUAGAUGACUCCAAUUCUCCUAAUUGUCCAAAUGGGAUGAUGGGGCUUCCUUAGAACCUAGGAUCACAUUAACAUAAACAAUAGAUCAAUUUACACACUAUGAACCCUAAAAGCUAUCUCUUAGCUAGUUUUCAAUUGCCACAUUAAAUGGCUAUCUAUGUUCACUAUCUUAAUCACAAAAAAAGUAAUGAACAUACUCAAUAAUAAAACAGCUCUUAAUCUAAAUUACUAGUCAUUAUUCAUAGCUAAAAUUCAAGCUUUUUGCAUCACUCACCCGAGGGUUCCUUUAUAGUUGGAUUCUCUUCCAAUAGCUUCAAAAUCAAUUGGUUAAUUCUCUCUUUCUCUCUCUAAAAUGCCCAACUAGUGAGUGAAAGUUUGGAAAUAAUAUUUAUCAAGGGUUUUGAAGUGAGAAAGUGAAAGAAUACUAGAGUUCUAAUCAAAAGGGUUCAAAGGUAUGAAAACUAGAGCUAGAGAGAGAAAAUUAAGCAAGCUUCAAAUCAAGCUUCCAUGGAGUUUUGAAGAAACGUGAGAGAGGAGAAGAAGAAAAAGACAAGCUACUGGAAAAUCUCUAGAAGCUGGUGGAAAUUCAAGAUAUUUAUAGCCAAUCUUAUCCCUUACCUUAAAAUUACGAAAAUGCCCCUCCAUCAAUUAACUUAUUCUCCUCCAAUCUUUUAUGCAAUCUUUUUGCUCUUUUAACACUAGGACAAGAUCCAUGAUGGUCUAGACAUGUUCGGGUUCAUAAAAAAUUAAAAUUUUAACUCGAGGUGAAAAAUGACCAUUUUGCCCCUGUUAUGAAAAUUAUUGUCAUUUCUAGUUUUCUUUGUGUUUUCAUCAGUACACAUCAUUUAUACUGUCUUAUGCCUAUUUAGGCCUUAAAAUAUCAUAAAACUUUCUUCUGGGAGCUUAUUAGAGAAAAUGAUGAAACUACCCCUAGCUCAUAUUAUUACAUCAAUGCUUAGCUACAAGCUUAUAGAGGUUGGGGUCUCACAAUAUUAAUGAUGAAUUUUGUUAUAUUUCAUAUUAUUUAGUGCGUAUUUGAUGAUUUAUAGUAUCGGAUAUUGACAAUGGUUAUCGAAAAGUAUAGUGCUUUUAGUAAACGACUUGAACGACAACGAGAAAAUCAUGGUAAAUGACUUGAAUUUGAUUUCUAAUUAUAUAUACGGACUUAUUGGACUGCAUUGACACUAAUUAGCACGUUAGUUUGGAAUCAGAAUGAGUUUCAGAUGUGAUCAUUUAAGUCACAAUCAAGUUCAUUGAGGUACUUUAGGGGUAUUUGGAGUACCAAAAGUGCAAUGAAUCUAUUUGGAGUUGAAUCGGAUGUUUUGGCUAAUUAAACAGUGUAUAGUGCGAGUUAGGUCGAAUACCAUUUUAGUCCAAUAACAAUUGAACCUACGUAGAACACCAUCUUUAAGUGAUUAUUCGAACAUUUCUCAUUCAAUUUCAUACAUUCAUAUAGAGCUUGGAAGAGUUUUAUAACAGUUUGGCACAAAUGUAUUGAAUUACUUGUUGUGUAUUAAGUAUAGGUGGUGAGCCCUCUGGUAAGGGUAAGGAUAUCGUACUCGAGGACCAAGAGCAGGAGUACUUCCGUUAUUGUGAGUAAAUAGACUAUCAUCUUAACUAUCUAAAGUAGUUUAUACUCGUUUUUAUGAUUUUAAAGAAUAAUGAACUUAAAUUGUAAACUAUUAUGUUUUAUAACUGAAGUGUUGGUUAAAUGAAAUGAGAUUCAUAAUUUGGCUUGAAAUUGAAUGCUGGUUUUGGAAAUUGAGUAAGCGGAGACUAUACACUUGUGUUAUAUAUAUGUUUUGACUAUUGUUAGUUGUGCUGACUGUGAGACCUCAACCCCUAUAGGCUCAUAACUACGCAUAGAGGCAAUAACAUGGGCUAGGGGUAGUUUCAUCAUUUUCUCUAAAAAAAAAGCUCCCAGAAAAAGGUUUAAUGAUAUUUUAAGGUCUAAAUAAGCAUAAGACCGAAUAAAUAAUGUGUAAUGAUGAAAACACGAAGAAAACUAGAAGUUUCAAUAAUUUUCACAAUAGAGGCAAAAUGGUCAUUUUGCACGCCGAGUCAAAAUUUUAAGGUUUUGUAAACUUGAAUAGUUUAGAUCAUUGUGGACCUUGUCCCAGUGUCAAAAGAUUAAAAAGAUUGCACAAAGGAUUAGAGAAGAACAAGUUAACUUGCUAAAGGGCAUUUUCGUAAUUUUCAAGGGAAUUGGAUAAGUUUGAGUAUAAAUAUCUUCUCCUUCCAGUAGCUUCUUCAAUUUUUAGCAGCUUUUUCUUCUUCCUUCUUCCAUCUCACGUUGCUUUCAUCCUCCAUGGAAGCUUGAUAUGAAACUUUCACAACUUUUUCUCUUUAGCUCUAAUUUUCAUACCUUUGCGCCCUUUUGACUAGAACCCUUGUGCUCUUUCACUCUCUCACUUUAAAACCCUCAAAAAGUCCUUGGUCAGCACUUUCUCUCACAAGUUGGAGGUUUUAGAGAGAAAAAGAGAGAUUUUCCACAUUUGUUUGGAAGCUAUUGGAAGAGAAUUAAACUAUAAAGAAACCCUAAGGUGAGUGAUGAACUAGGCUUGGUUUUAAGUUGUUGAUAAUGGCUAGUAAUUGGGAUUAUGAGCUGUUUUAUUGUUGAGUUGUUUACUCAUUUUUAGUGUGAUUAGAGUAGUGCAAGGAAUAGCCAUUUGAUAUAGUUGGAAGCCAAUUAGGAAUGACUAGUAGAAUUUGAAUUAGAAACUAGCUUUUGGAGUGAUAUUAAUGUAAAUUGGAUUGGUUGUGAUGUUGUGUGUGUAUAGGUUCCAACAAGGCCUCACAUGUCCAUUUGGAGUAUUAGUUGAGGUUAGAGUCAAGCAAAAGAAACAACAAGACCGGUGAGUGAACUUGCAUUUCAAAGUAUUUUUGGGAAUGUGAAUGUGUUUGCACAAGACAUUAAAUGAUUUUAUCAAACUUUUCUUAAGAAUGGGUGCCUUGGGAACAAGCCCUUGAUAAAUUAUCUUUGUGUUGUGAUAUGUGGCUAUUAUGGAUUUAUAUACUGCUACAUUAUGUUGAUAUAUAUAUACGAAUAAUGUUGUGUAAUAAUAUUGACCCGACUAUGUGCAAGUAGGAGUACGCAUAAGCUGUUGCUAACUCAGCUAUGUGCGAGUGGGAGUGCGUAGCUGACCCGGCUAUGUGCGAGUGGGAGUGCAUAGCUGACCCGGCUAUGUGCGAGUAGGAGAACGCAUAAGCCAUUGCAUAUGAGCUGAUGAUGAUGGGAGGGUGUGCAUGAUGAUUGAUAUAUAUAUAUAUAUAUAUAUACAUAUAUGGUAUAUGGUUGUAAUGCAUGUGAAAUUUUGGCAUGUUGAACUUCGAAAAUUUUUGAGCAUUUCAUGUUGAAAUUGGCAUGAUGAAUCUUGAGAAUGUCCUAUUUUCUUACAAAUUGAGUUCAUUUCAACACCAAAUGGAUUUUUAGUGCAAAAGAGGUCUUUUUUUCACUUAGGUGCCCUACUUCUCACUGCAGCAAGAAUACAGCGAGAAACAUUCUGUUAUGGUAGCAGAAAACUCGCUGCAACGAAAAUAAAUCUCGCUACAGCGAGAAACUUUCAGGUUCUGAUGUAGUGCCUUCAAUUUGAUGAAGAUUUUGACUACCUUCCCGUCCAAACUGGGAAAAGUGGUAAACAUCAAAGUUGUAUCCCAGCCUCUCAGCUUUUUAAUGGUUCAAAAAUCAGGUCAAUUGGACUUCUGUAACAAUAGAUAUGCCAGAAAAACUAAAAUACAUGCAAACUAGUAUUGUUUCUCGCUGCAGCGAGAAACAUUCUAUCCUACAUGCUACCCUAUUCGAUUUUUGAAAUAUUUUUCACUCAUUUAACUUCAUGGAUUGAUCAUGGGUUGUUGCAACACUAUGAGGUUAUUAAUCAAAGUUUGAAAUGAGGUGUUUUUAGUAAGAAAUUAAAUCAAUUACAUUGUUUUUAAAACAAGUGCAUCAUGAUUUCCAAAUUCUUCCUAUUGAUUGCUUGUUCCCUUCUUAUGUUCACUCACUGAGUUUUAUACUCACGUUUUUAAACUUCAUGUUUUCAUAUUCGAAGGCAGUUGGGACCUAGAUUGAGUCGCACACAUAUGCUCACCUUCUUGGUAGGUACUAUGGCAUCUCAGUAGCUGUACCCUCACCCACGGUCACUCUGCUGAUGGUCAAGAGUCGUAUACUUGUGUAUACGUAUAAGUAAUGUAGACCACUCAGAUUCAUGUUAGAAAAAUCAAAUGUGUAUAUUUGAUUACUGAUGCCAUUAUAGGCUGGCAAACGAGUAACAUUAUUUUAACAUAAUACGAAUGUGAAUAUUGGGUUACUAUAAAAUGUUAUUGAAAUAUUUAUAAUUGAGAGUUGCAAUAUGUGGUUUUAGAAUGAUGAUCAAGUUUGCAUAAAAAAGGCUUGCUUGGGCUUAGUGGGUUAUGCCCAUUGGGCCCAUGCGCCAUCAUACUGCCAAAAUUUUAUUGAUUUAGUGGGGUAAUUGAUUAGCUUACUGCAUUGAGCGGGUUUCUGUGGACUGGCCUAUUAGAGGAGCACGGUAAACCCCAUCAUAUUUUACCUUAGUAUGAGAGGCGCGAAGGGUAUCUCCUAAGGUAGUUUAGAGUUCACUUCACACCAAACCACCACGUAAGGGUGAAACUCAGCCAACGCCAAGGAAUGGCUAUGUUUUUAAAUGUAAAAAUAUGUUUUAUGUAUAUGUUAUUUUAACAACCUUGACGGACUCAGUUGGAUGCCCUGCACAAGGUGUCACUGAGUACAAGUUUUAGCAUGAGCCAAGUUUUUAAGAGAGUCAUAAGCCUUGUUGAAUUUUUUUUAUGAAAUGUAACUGUUUUAUAUGGGUUGAAAUGAGUUUUAAGGUUAUGAAUCAUAUUAUGAUGAGAAGUUUUAAUUGUCUCCAUUUACUCGGCUUUAGAUGCUAUAGAUGAUCUUUUCUUACUCACUGGGUUUAUAAAAACUCACCACCCUUCUUUCACCCAUUUCAGGCUCAGGGCAGUCUGUAGACUGUCAAUUUUGUCGAAGGUUUGCUUUUGGAUUCGCACCCUUAAAAAUCAUAGGUUUACAAUCGUGUUUAUUUUUGUCAUUUUGGGGCUCACAUGUCAUUGUAGAAUAUUUUUGUAUACCUUCGUGCAAUGUGCUAUUAUAUAUACGAAUUUAUUUUGUUAUUACUUUUCAUUAACUGUUUACGUAGAAUUUUAUAAAUAUUGUUUUAUAUGAAAAUAGAAUAUUUUAUUCAAUAUUUUUUUAUUUAGUUUGAUUAGCUAUAAUUCCACUUUAAAUGGAUGAUUUAGAUACCUAAAUUUAUUUUUAGAUAUGAAAUGUAUAUUUUUUAUUUAUAUAUUAUAUUUUUAGCAAGUUUCGAAAUUUUCGGGUAGAAUGACCAAAAUACUCCUGUGCGGUAGAAAUUACUUUUUGAUUGUCUUUAAUUUGAAAAUAGUCUAUAUUCCUUUAAAAUAUGAUAUUUAGUAACUACUGCUCACAAGAGAGGCAGAGAACUGAUGCUAGAGCCUUGCGAGGUUUCGGUUGACAUUUCGGGUCAGGUAUGUUUAUCGGGACAUCGCAACGGUUGUCACGGGCUCGAAGAGAGUACUGGGUCGUGACAUAUGUAUUCUAAAUUUUAUACCCUUUGGGACUUGGAUCUGUUAUAUGAAGUUGAGAUUUAGUGUUGCUACUUUAGCAUGAUUUCCAAGGGUAAAAAAUGAUACGAUUUAACGGAACAUGACUAAGAAAGCAGCCAGAUCUUAAUGGAUUGACAUGAGUAUCCAAAUAAGAGUCAUUAUAUAUCUCACAUACAUGGUCUAUAACUUAUUGCUCAAGCAGUUAUAAAAACAUUAGUUGUCAGAUAUAACCAUGAGUUUAGACACACAAAGAGAUUUUGCAUAGCUCUUACAUAUAGGAGGGAUCAAAGAUGCAAAAUCUUGUGUGAUUAAAAUGAUUUGGGGUAUGACGAGAACUCAAGCGGUGUUAUGUUAGUAAAAUGGUAACUUAACAUCUCAUUGCUCACCAAUACCUUUAUUUUCUUGUUGGUCACACGUUCCAUUUUCCUUGUAUGACAAUGAAUGAAGAAUGAAUUAAAUUGAGAAUGGUAUAAGUUGAUGCCAAUGUGUACGAGUAGGAGAUGUUGCAUUUAAAUGUAGUGUGUCCACAUAGCAUGCAACUUUAUUAAUUAUUUGUGGAUAUAUAACUAAUAUUCAAUUAAUUAAUAUUAGAUAUUAUUCUGAUAUUCCUUAAUUGAAUAAUUAAAAAUAAAUGUUUAAGAUAGGAUAUAAAUUUAAAUUUAAUUUGUUUAAAUUUAAAUUAUCUAUCCAUUAUAUUUAAGUUUAAUUUGUUUAAAUUUAAAUGAAGAUUAAUUACAUUUAAAUUUAAUUAGUUUAAAUUUAAAUAUAAUAUCUUAUCUCUAUAUCUUUAAUACGUCUAUAAAUAGUGAACAGACGUACUAGUUUCAACACACAACCAAAGAGUGAAUGUGAGUUCUUCUGUAAGUCAAAAAAACCAAAAACUCUUUUCUCCUUUUUUUUUCUUUCUCUACAUACUUGAAGCACCAUCAAAGGCCAAAGGGUUUUGGAACGUGUAAUUCCUUGUGGAGAACUUUAGUAUAUGCUCCAUAACAACGAGAGUAAAGAAAUUAUUGUGUGCAUGAAAAAGGAUUUGUAAGGCAAGCUUCUUCGAUCAGAAAGGUAGUAGAAUAUUUAUCUGAAAAUGUAAGCCCACCUCCCAACAAUCCAAGACUUAGACUAAUCUAUCAACUUUGUGCUUUUUAUAUUAAUUCGUCUACCUACCUAAUUGACAUAAGUUGGAAUCAUGGAACAAUUAGAAUUAAUUUGUUAGUUGUUGCCAGUUAAAACUAUUUUUCCACUAGGCUACAGUAAGUCUAACCUUCCUAAAGAGAACAUAAAACUCUUCUCACUUAGCUACAUUGCCAAACCCAUUUAUCAUACAAAUUACACUCCCAUAGAAAUAACAAUCCCAUUAACACACACACAAAUAUAUAUAUAUAUAUAUAUAUAUAUAUAUAUAUAUAUAUAUAUAAANAGUAUGGGAGUAAGACUUUUUAAGGGUUUUAAGGUGAGAGACUGAAAAGAGCAUGAAAAACCCUAUAACAAGGUGUGUAAAAGCAUGAAAUUUAAGAUUAGUUUGAGAGGGUGAUGGAAGCGUUGAGAGAAGCUUUCAUGGAGGAUGAAAAAAAUGUGAGAUGGGAGGAAGAAGAAGAAGAAGCUGCUGGAAAAAUGAGGAAGCUGCUUGUGAGACCUUGACCUUUAUAGACUCGUAGAUAGAAGUACACGCGAUAUCCCUGAUCAAGGGUAAUUUCAUCAUUUCCUUAGUAAGCCCCUAAAAGUAAGUUUUAAACAAUAUUAAGGCCUAAGUAGGCCUAAGGCAUAAAUGAAUGAUGAAAAUAUGAGUAAAAUGACAAGGAAAUAAAAAUUUUGAUGAUUUUCACGAUAGGGGCAAAAUGGUCAUUUUUCACCUCGAGUUAGAAUUUUUAAGUUUUCAUGAAUACGAGCAUUUCUAGACCAUUAUGGACCUUGUCCUAGUGUCAAAAAAGUAAAAGAUUUCAUAAAAGAUUAGAGGAGAAUAAGCUAAUUUGUGGAGGGGCAUUUUGAUAAUUUAAGUGGAGUGGAUAAGCUUGGGCUAUAAAUAUCUUUCUUCCAACAACUUCUACAUUCUCUAGCAGCUUUUCUUCUUCUUCUUCUUCUUCUUCUCUUUCACGUUGCUUCCCAACCUCCAUGAAAACUUGAUAAGAAAGCUCCACACCCUUCUUUAAAUAGCUUCAAAUUUCAAGCUUUUGGUGCACCCUUUCCAUAAACCCUUGUGCUCUUCCAUUCUCUCACUUUAAAACCCUUGAAAAAAAUCUUGUUUCCAUACUCUCUUUCACUAGUUAGGUGUUUUAGAAAGAGAAAGAGGAAGCUUUACAAUAGUUUGGAGAAUUGUUGGAAAGAAUUUCAAAGUUUCAAAGCUAUUAAGGUGAGUAAUAAAUUAGAGUUGAAAUUUUAGUGUUGAGAAUGACUAGAGAUUUGAUUUGUGAAUACCUUGUAGUUGAGAUUGUAAAUUCACUUUGGAGUGAUAGAAUAGUGAAAAUGGAUAGCCAUUUAAUGGCAAAUGGAAGCUAGCUAAGAAAAAGCUUUUAGAAUUCAUAAGUAUGUGGCUUGACUUAAUGCUGAUGCUAAUGUGAUAAUAGGUUCCAACAAAGCCGCAUCACCCCAUUUGGACAAUUAGAGAAGUUAGAGUUGACUAAAGGAUUCAACAAAUACCGGUGAGUGAACUUGCAUUUCAAAAUAGUUUUGGGAAUGUAAAUGACUUAUCCAAUUUUUUUUAAAAACGGGUGCCUUGGGAACAAGCCUUUGAUAAAUUGUCUCUAUGUGUGACAUGUGGCUGUUAUGGAUUGUUGUAUUACUACAUUAUGUUGAUCUAAAUAUAUAUGAAUAAUAUUGUGUAAUGAUAUUGACCCGACUAUGUGCGAGUAGGAGUGUGUAUAAGCCGAUGCUGACCCGGUUAUGUGCGAGUGGGAGUGUGCAUAAGCCGCUGCUGACCUGACUAUGUGCGAGUGGGAGUGCGCAUAAGCUGAUGCAUAUGAGCUGAUGAUGAUGGGAGGGUGUGUAUGAUGAUUGAUGUAUAUAUAUAUAUAUAUAUAUAUAUAUACAUCAAUCAUCAUACACACCCUCCCAUCAUCAUCAGCUCAUAUGCAUCAGCUUAUGCGCACUCCCACUCGCACAUAGUCAGGUCAGCAGCGGCUUAUGCACACUCCCACUCGCACAUAACCGGGUCAGCAUCGGCUUAUACACACUCCUACUCGCACAUAGUCGGGUCAAUAUCAUUACACAAUAUUAUUCAUAUAUAUUUAGAUCAACAUAAUGUAGUAAUACAACAAUCCAUAACAGCCACAUGUCACACAUAGAGACAAUUUAUCAAAGGCUUGUUCCCAAGGCACCCGUUUUUAAAAAAAAUUGGAUAAGUCAUUUACAUUCCCAAAACUAUUUUGAAAUGCAAGUUCACUCACCGGUAUUUGUUGAAUCCUUUAGUCAACUCUAACUUCUCUAAUUGUCCAAAUGGGGUGAUGCGGCUUUGUUGGAACCUAUUAUCACAUUAGCAUCAGCAUUAAGUCAAGCCACAUACUUAUGAAUUCUAAAAGCUUUUUCUUAGCUAGCUUCCAUUUGCCAUUAAAUGGCUAUCCAUUUUCACUAUUCUAUCACUCCAAAGUGAAUUUACAAUCUCAACUACAAGGUAUUCACAAAUCAAAUCUCUAGUCAUUCUCAACACUAAAAUUUCAACUCUAAUUUAUUACUCACCUUAAUAGCUUUGAAACUUUGAAAUUCUUUCCAACAAUUCUCCAAACUAUUGUAAAGCUUCCUCUUUCUCUUUCUAAAACACCUAACUAGUGAAAGAGAGUAUGGAAACAAGAUUUUUUUCAAGGGUUUUAAAGUGAGAGAAUGGAAGAGCACAAGGGUUUAUGGAAAGGGUGCACCAAAAGCUUGAAAUUUGAAGCUAUUUAAAGAAGGGUGUGGAGCUUUCUUAUCAAGUUUUCAUGGAGGUUGGGAAGCAACGUGAAAGAGAAGAAGAAGAAGAAGAAGAA
RNAcentral lists this long non-coding RNA (10889 nucleotides) under Theobroma cacao (cacao). Its description in RNAcentral is "long non-coding RNA (TCAC_LNC005876)". Lineage: Eukaryota; Viridiplantae; Streptophyta; Magnoliopsida; Malvales; Malvaceae. The record is from RNAcentral.